AUAUUUAUAAUCCCUGUGCCAAAAGUACUUCAUAAAUUAUAUAUCAGAAGUUCUGUCUUUUCCAGAGAAACAGCCUCUGAUACACAGCAUUGGGCACAGGCAGAUGAUUUGCUAAAGACAACAAAAUGAUUCCUUUGUAUUUUCUAAGGUCUCUGCUUCCCAGCUGGGAUGUUUGAAUGCUGCUCAGGGAAAUACUUUGAAAGAUGGAUAAAGAUUCAAUAAUAUUUCAAGUUGGAUUCAGCUGAAGGACUGUUCAGAUUCUGUCAUGUAACUGUGACUACUAAGAGACUUUAACUCUUUCCCAUUUUACCCCAUCAUCUGCAAUCAAGCUUUCUUCAGGUCACCCAACUAAGUGGUUAUAAAAGCUAUAAUGAAGCUUCAAGAGAGCACCACAUAUCUGGAGAAAAGAGCUGGGGAGGAGGUUGGAGUAAUGCAUUAUAAAGGACAUAUUUCAUACUCAGAAGGACAAGCAUUAUAGACUUAAAGCACAAGUAAGUGAAGGUUUGUGAGAACUCAAGAGGGGCUUGUAUGUCUAAAGGAUUGCCUACUUUUCACACAUAUAGCAGUUUAUUUCAUAUUUGCAAGCCUUCUUGCACAAUCUAAAGUCAGCAUGGGUACUGUAAUGUAGUUAAGAAUUGUUUUUAAUUAGAAAGGUUAUUUUACUGUUCCACUUUAAAACACCUUCAAAACAUUUCUUAAGCUAGCAGCCAUAAACAUGGUAAU
This 723-nucleotide long non-coding RNA is filed under the name Meleagris gallopavo (turkey). Its description in RNAcentral is "lncRNA (ENSMGAG00000018782.1)". Lineage: Eukaryota; Metazoa; Chordata; Aves; Galliformes; Phasianidae. The record is from RNAcentral.